This 464-nucleotide ribosomal RNA is filed under the name uncultured Desulfobulbus sp. RNAcentral's name for it is "bacterial SSU rRNA". It matches the Rfam family "Bacterial small subunit ribosomal RNA", at positions 924 to 1382 of the family's 1533-position model. Lineage: Bacteria; Pseudomonadati; Thermodesulfobacteriota; Desulfobulbia; Desulfobulbales; Desulfobulbaceae. The record is from RNAcentral.
CACAAGCGGUGGAGUAUGUUGGUUUAAUUCGAUGCAACGCGAAGAACUUACCUGGUCUUGACAUCCCGGAGACCCUUAGGAAACUAGGGGGUGCUUCCAUCUGGAAGAAUCUGGAGACAGGUGCUGCAUGGCUGUCGUCAGCUCGUGUCGUGAGAUGUUGGGUUAAGUCCCGCAACGAGCGCAACCCUUGCCUUUAGUUGCCAGCAGUUCGGCUGGGCACUCUAAAGGGACUGCCGGUGUUAAACCGGAGGAAGGUGGGGAUGACGUCAAGUCCUCAUGGCCUUUAUGACCAGGGCUACACACGUACUACAAUGGCCGAUACAAAGGGCAGCGACACUGCGAGGUGAAGCCAAUCCCGUAAAAUCGGUCUCAGUCCGGAUUGGAGUCUGCAACUCGACUCCAUGAAGUUGGAAUCGCUAGUAAUCGUGGAUCAGCAUGCCACGGUGAAUACGUUCCCGGGCCUU